UUUACCGAAAGAACCAAGAAUAUGAAUCCCUGCAGUCGCGAAGGCUUCAAAUCGAAAUGUAAAUAGGUAAACAAUGAUCUAACUCUGAUAAUGCACGCUCUUAGACUUUCCGGGGUUAACAAGAAUAAUGACAUACAAUAAUCAAGGGAGGGGAAAAUACUCGCACGAACAGAAGGUAAAAACAACUAAUGUAUAUACAGUACAACUUGCAUUCGUAAUUGCAAUACACCCACAACGUAAAAAAACACGCAUCUCAGUGCGCUAGGAAAAAGAAACCGACGCACUCGUAAUAGCACGAUGUCAGGAUUGACAGGAAGCAGAACCUUCGUGAGCGAGCGGCAAUAUGACAAUUCAUUAACUCGUACAAGAGCCACCGACGACUUGCCAGUCGCUCGCUGGUCGGAGUGGCACACGUGUGUGUGUGUGUGUGCUCCCCCUGCAACAAGCAGGCGUUCCGGCCGUCGUUUAGAUCAUUGAUGAGCACUUGGGCUGCUACAAAUUUCCACAAGCCACUUCGUUGAGCUGUCAUUUGUGGCCAGGCCGCUUCUGAAAUAGAAGCUAAUAUCGCAGCGGGCCUUACCUGGUAAAAUACAAAUAGUUUGGUUCAUUUGUACAUAUUUACUUGUCAUUUUCUUACCUUUCCCUAUGCUGUGCACUAUCGUGCUUUAUAUUGCUUGUUGUUAUCAUGUUCUGACCUGCCCCGACUGGAACAUCUGCGGCAAAAGAACUUUACAGCUCAUCGGAUUCCUUCAGCAUGAAUAAAUAUUUGUGACCGCGACUAAUGUUGACAGUCGGCAUCCUUGCCGUCACCUGCCCACGGCGCUGGUUUGUAGGCGCACGCCGCCUGCGGCCGUCGAGAGGAGACCACUCAGCAGCUGGAGCACGCGACCCCGACUCCACGUGGAUUUUCAACAAAGAAGGUGUGUGGGGGUGGUGGUGGUGGUGAAACACGCUCGUGUCGGUCACAAGUGCAGUUGGUGUUUAUUUUUUUACUAGAUACCCACCCACUGAAACACGGCCGAGCCGUCAACUACAUUUGGAGCACAUUUCCGGCGUCAAUCCGCGGCAAGGUUCUUCACGUUGGUAAAGUGCGUUUAACAAAACAACAACAAUGAGACGUUGUAAACACCACACCACGUCUCAGCCGCUCAGCUCUAAACACUUACAGCUGUGUGGCACCAGUGAGUCAUCGUUUCCAUAGUGACCAAAUUUCACCCCCACCAUCUCUUCUUCCCCCUCCUCCCCUCUCAGUCUCGCUCCUCUUCUCUCCCCUUCCAGCCUCGACUGGAUUUGUGCUCUUCCUGUCCCUCUCUCUCCCUCUCUGAUUUCGGAGAAUGUUUUACAGGCAAGUAACCGACACGGCCAUCGAAACGAGGUAAUUCCCAGCGGAGGGUGUUUUGCUCUCUGCGAGGCAUAGCGCUGUUGCUGAGACACAGAGAGAGAGAAAAAAGACGGGAGAGAAACUGUGUAUAUCGCUCACCGGGAGAACAGCUUUAUACUUGCUCACAAGAAGCACAAGAUUCGUCCCCGCUGUGGAGAGAACCACCAAAACCAUGACUCGCGUCGUCAUUCCUUUCCUCCUCUGAAGCAUGCCAAAUGCUGCUCUGCUCCUCAUGCAAUGUGUGACAUCCUCGGGACUGAGGCUGCGAAGACCCACAGCAACAAUGGGCAUGUCGUUAUCCGUGGAGGAAGAGGACAUUGUCAAUGUGCGUAGAGAGGAGAGAGAGGAGUCUAUUCUGGCCAUGCUGGGGAUCACGGGGACCAUCCUCAACCUCAUCGUCAUCAUCUUCGUCUACAUUUACACCACCGCCUGAGCGCCAAGCUGUGACCCGGCUGUCGGGGCCGCCAGCCGGCCUGCCAGCGGCCACCAACGAGGGAGGAGGCGCUGCUCGGGCUCGGGAGAGGCCACCCACGGCACUCGCAUCCGACGCCCGAGCGAUCGAUGGCUUUUCACAUGCGCGGGAGCCCGACGUGAGCUUGAGCUUUGGGAGAAAUAACGAAGGAACGCUCCGCGUGAUAAGACGACGACGGAGAAAAAAACACUGGACUGCAGCGCAGGCGGUGGAGACGUAAGCAGCGGCUUGCACUUAUGUUGCAGGGCAACAAAUCGAAGACGAUCAAAGGCCGAGGGAGACUGUGAAGCCUUGUUGACAAUGAACUGGGUGUCAGAUGGACAUUAAUACCUCUGGAAUUCCUCUACUUCAGAACAGUGAGGUUAACAAACACAAUGGGCAUCUCAGUAUUUUUAUGUUUACAACGUAAGCUCGAGUUGUGGGUAAGGAACACGUAUAAUCACCGACACACGUACAAGGAUAACGAACAUCAGGGGAUAUUGCAGUGAGGAUAUUCUCGAUCAAGUACCUUAAUAUUACAUCACGAGUAAAUGCAAUUUUUUGCACGUUGAUAUCAAAUUGGGGAUCAUCAAAACCACUCCAGAAUAAUAAACUGUUGCUUUUUGUGUAAAUCAAUCCUGCGUACACUGUGUACAUACUUCAAUGGCUUGUGGUUAGAAUUCAAGCUCUUCAUGUAUAUAGAAGAGCCAUUUCAUUGCAUUUCAGUAAAAAAAUCAUGUCUUUAUACCUUAAUUGAAUCAUUGAAUAUAAUAACAAGGUACAGUUUUGUUUUAAUUUACUUAUCUUACAGAAUAUAGAAUGCAUAAUCCUGAUGUAAUGGUAAGGUAUUAAUUCAGUGCCUACAAGUGUACAACUUGCCUGUAAAAAGUAUGAGCUUUUCUUCAUCAAUAUUUCGUAUUAAAUUAACGAUGAGAGAUGAUGCUUCGUACUUUAAUUGACAGACAGUCCGUCGUCUGUCGGUCGAAGCUGAAUAUUCUACAACCUCCUGUCACUUGUGCUUAUAAAUGACUAUCACAUUUUUAACAAAAUACGUUGGUUUAAAGUAGCAAUAGUGCAACCUGACUCUUUGUUAACACAGACACUUGCUCCGGAUAUGAAAGGGAAACCAACAAAUGCAUCUGCUCUGGCUUUUUCUUGUGAUAAAAACACGGUAAUAUAUUUAAAGAAAUGUACACUUCCUCGUCCUUUGAGUGUAAAACUACUACCAACCAAAUGUAAAAGAUUAUUUUUUUAAAUGUUACAUUUAUAUGACCGAUUAAAAGAAAAGAAAAUAUACUUAAAUGUUUAAAAACCCAAUGGUACUUUGUUCAGGAAAGGUAUGGCUAUUGUACGACCUGCAUUUUGUUCAGCAAUGACUGUUGAAAAUUACGCAUUUCUCUUUUAUAUUCCGUGAUCAACAACAACAAAAAGAACAACACGUUUCCUUUCGGACGUUAAUUUAAGGCAGGCUCCAACAAUUAUCCGCGAGCUCGUUCGGGGGAUCAAGCCAUUGCACUGCUGUACACGAGCCGCCAGGCUUUUCACUCCCGGCAUGCACCAGCUUAUUGCCUGCACAAACUGCGCUCCGCCACAAGUGAUCAACGUCAUUAAGCCAUAAAAAAACUGAGGGACACUUUCCCCCAUCACCCUCCCUACCAUCCCCCCAAUAAAAAGGCCUUCAUUAAGACGAAGAAAAUUAGGAGGCCAGUUAUACAACCGUUUAGGGCAAGGUUAAGACCAGGACACACUUUGUAUGUAGAACUUCUUUCGCACAGUAGGUAUUCAACCGCGCUAAAUCGGGGGUGCGGGGUAUUACGAUGUGCUUGUAUGAUUGAUACAAAGGCACCCAUGGUAAAAAGUGCUUCCAUGCGCGCGCACAUACAUACACACACGCGAGCACACUGCAGCCUCCAAAAGGAACUGCGGACCCUAGAGGAACGAUAAGACAAUAGCUGUAAUGUUCAGAUGACAACCACCCUUGAAUGUGAGUACAAACACUAAAUAUUCGUAUAUGGAUAUGGUAUCAUAAUGGCGUUACUUUCGUCUUGCAGCCAAGAGGCUAAACAACAUCAGGGACUAAAAGAGAUAGAGAUCGCUGAAAAUUAGGCAAAUUGCCUGAGCGAGACAGAUUGCAACUGCACAGGAUUGUAUGCACUGCAGUCAGCAUUUUCAUUCAGCAGUGGAUAAAUAAUGCACAGUAUUAAAUGUGCAUGACAUUGAGGGUGUUGGUUAGCAGGUUUAAUGCUACACAUCGAGUCUUCAAUGUAGCCUCCUGUGGAAAAUGUCCUCCAGAUUCGUUAAAAACAAAAGACUCGUAAACAAACCAAUUCCAGUUAAUUGCCAGUUGCAACAUACAGUACUUGUUUAGCAAGUUGACAAAUACAGCCCCACUCACUUUAGAGACUAUUCCUUUGGUUAACAUUUGGGAUCAAGUCCACUGCAUCUUGGAUUGACGGUUACUGCAAGAAAAUAUGGUUGGUUUAAAACGCUUCACAACUAAGAUCAAUGAAAGAAGAGGAAAACUGCAUACAUUUUACUCACUAACCUUAAAUUUGUUAAAGCGAAGUAAAGUAUGACAGAAAGUUGAUAUUUCAGUGAGUAUAUACAGAGUUAUAAAAGCUGUUACGCUAAUAAAAGGUAAAAAUAAAAGUCCGUUUUAAUCAACUGCUUCAGACAACAUACUAGGAUUAAAUAGGUUUAACGUGCUCAAAGUAAAAAAAAAAAUUGCAGUAUUACCACAUAUCAUCUAAAGGAAAUCACAUUGCUAUAAAAUGAUACAUUUACCGAGGACCUUUUUGUUGUUUACAGAGGGACCCUCGCAAGUACCAAACGCAGGCAAGCAUGAGAAGUGCGUUAAAAUCGGCACAACCACCGCACCACAGCAAAUCACAAGCAGCACCAAACACCACCCUGGUACUCUGCACCUCGACUGGACUGCCACACAAGCCCUUGAAAACGACUGGUGUACAGCCUUUGGAGCAGAGACUGCCGGAUCAUCAUGUUGGAGCCAGCUAAUUUCGCGCCGGGUAAUUAUCGAUGAUCAAGUGUAUAUGUCACGGUAAGAUUAAUAUAAAUGUAUUAAAAACUUUCAUUUUUAGGUACAUUGGUUGUGGUGGUUGCCAUUAUCAUAUUUACUUUCAAUUCCUGGGAUAUAUUUUUCGUUCUAAAAGAGAUCUGCAUGGAAUUCCUCUACAUUCUGCUGAAGCAUCAUGGCUUCGGUCAAGCUUUCAGGGUUACAAUUUGCUAUUACCAAUCAUCAGCUCCCUUUUUUCCUGUUUUCAUGCCCCCAUUUCUUUCUUAUGACAUCUUAGAUAUUUGUUGUGCUUUGUUCUAUAAUUGUGUUUCCCCUAAUAGCUCUAAAGUGUUCCGUGUAUUGUUGAGCAUUCAAAUCCCUUGGUGUUCUCCUUGCUGUUGUUUCCACUUGUGAUCUCGCAAAGCUUGUUUGCCAUGUGCUUUUUACUUUGACCCAUUUUUCUGUGCACUGUCCAUUAUUCCUAUGCUAGAUAUUUAAUUUAUAACACCGAUUUUUUGAAUUUGAACAUUCUGCUUCCUUUUGCAUUGGAAUACACUACUUAGAAUAAGUCAAACGUCUCCCACCAACUGAAUUAGGAUUUUCUUAUGUGAACCAACUUGUUUUGGCCAGCUUUGGCCUCCCUUUGGCAAUAUUGAUGUGUAACUUGCAUUGCAAUAGCCUACCAACACAUCCUUUGUUGAAGUUGCAGAGGUACAACUGACAUAUGUGGACCUUAUUCACAACAGUAUAAAAUUGCAUGCCAUUGAAGUAAAAAUCUUUCAACGGAAUAGUUCCUGCAACCUAACUGCAGAAAUUCAUUAUAAUCCCUUCUUAAAUACAGUUUCCUUCACCUCCCAAGUAAAGUGAAAGGACAUCAAAUACAUGCUAUAUAUAACAUGCAACAAGAUUUUAACUAAGCUAGACAAGCUUUCAAUCAAUACUUCAAACGCACCAUAGCAAAAUCUAUUUCCCAAUAUCUAUUCAAUUAAUUCACAACACAAAUUAGAUUUUUUGUUUACAUUUCCCCGGCCAAUAUAAUUAACUAAGUAUGGAGUCAAUUUCACAUAAACUCAAUUGUAUAAUGAAAUCAAUAAAAAACUAUUUGGGAUCAAAUUUAA
Molecule: long non-coding RNA, 5963 nt
Organism: Petromyzon marinus (sea lamprey)
Lineage: Eukaryota; Metazoa; Chordata; Hyperoartia; Petromyzontiformes; Petromyzontidae
Source: RefSeq, a predicted model, not a curated record